CAGCAGGAUCUGUUUUGUCAAAUGAGGAAGUAAACUACAUUAAGUGAAAAACACAGUCAUUGUUGUGGACUGACUUGAGACAGAGGUGGAUUUGAGAAAAUUAAUUGCUGAGAUGAUUAAUAACUCACUCUGUGGAUCAACAUCUGGAUCUGCUUUUAGAUGAAACCAUGGCCUUCAGAAUGAAUCUCUCUGAAGAACAUGACACACAGAUAAAGACAGUCAAGAGUCUGAUUCAGGAGGGUGAGUCAGAUUUAGCUGAACACAUCGAUGUGUCUGUGAGGAAAAACCAACCGAUGGAUCUUUCAGAUCUCUGCAGAGAGGAAGACUCUUCUGUUGAGCGCAGG
Molecule: long non-coding RNA, 344 nt
Organism: Sinocyclocheilus rhinocerous
Lineage: Eukaryota; Metazoa; Chordata; Actinopteri; Cypriniformes; Cyprinidae
Exons: 3
Source: RefSeq, a predicted model, not a curated record